Molecule: long non-coding RNA, 2485 nt
Organism: Bos taurus (domestic cattle)
Lineage: Eukaryota; Metazoa; Chordata; Mammalia; Artiodactyla; Bovidae
Source: Ensembl
CGGGCGCCGUUAGCGCCCUGGCAUCGCUGUUUUGUUGUUGGGUCACGAGUGCGCCUCUGCACGCAGGCGCCGCCGCCGCCCGGGAGUUGUGUGCAGAUUUGCACGGCUGGCCUCAGCGGGAGGCGCGGAAAUGCAAGCCGAGCCUGCUGGAGUGAAAGCCCCCGGGGCCUGGCACCCCCGAAAACGACCUCCCACCUUAAUCCCUGCCCCCAUCGCCCACGGCCCCCAUGGGCGACCCCUCUUCUUCCUCUUCCUUCAUUUACCCCACCUCGUUACCUACGUGGCUGACCCAAAUUCAAAGCAUUUUGUGUAUAUAUAAUUUUUUUUUUUCUUUUCUGCUAUGUCUUUUUUUGGGGGGGUGGCGGGGGUGGGGGGAGAAAUCCUCUCUAGAGCCGUAAGCGGAUCUGCCACACGGAGGAAGCAUUUGGGGGCUCAGGAAGAAAUUAGCGCAGCUCCAUACCUGUACGGACUACAUAACUUUUAAACUACUGGACUCAAAGGAUCCACAUACACACAGGUACAGGAAAUACAGUCAGACCAAAGCCUUUUCAGACCCAAGCUGACCGGAAGACGUUGCCUUUCAUUCAUUCAUUCUGCCCGCGUCUGUGGAGUCCUUUACUAGGCGAGAAGCCCUAGAAGAGAAGUUGGACGUUUUUUAAAGGUCCCUGCGCUCUCCAAGAAGAGGAAAUAGAUGCUCAGGAGUGAACUACCGAGAGAAUCGGAUCUGGCGCCUCCUAACGCAGCUGGCAAACAUGCGAAGGGAAAAAAAAGACCAGGCCAGUUGUAUUUGAAACAAAAUAAUAAUGACUUUUGGACCUUCUUGCUCAUUCUUACAAAAGGCCCAGUCAGAUCCUGGCUGUGUUGGCCCCAUUCAUUCAUUUCUUCAUUCAUCAAAGGUUGAUUGAGCAGCUCUGUGCUCUAAAGACUUCGAGGAUGGAAAAAUCAGCUCCGAUUGUAGCCUCUUCCUCCAGACGGGGCAAGAAGUGGGCUGCCAGCUUCCCAAACAAGUCAGGAAGGACUGAUGCUGGAUGGAACCCCCAGAAUCUAGGAUUUUUCACACUGUUAGAAACUGAAGCUGUCAUAUUCAUGUAUCAUUAUAAUAGCUCCUGAUUUUUGAGAGCUUACUCUGUCUUUGAGCAAAAGCUCUCACAUUUUGCUAUCUCUUGAAAUCCUCAUCAAAGUUCUCUGAGAGAGGGUCUGUAAUUGCCCAUUUUUACAGCUGAGGCUCAAAAAGAGGUCAAGUCACUUGCCCACAAUUUAGGGCUGCGAAAUAGCAAAGACGGGUUUUGAAUCCUGGGCUGGUAGGAAUCCAGAGCCCAGAGGCUUCUGUCUGUCUAGUCUUUCCUGCAGGGCAGUCCCACAGAACACGAAGAUGGAAAUGUUCUAUGUCUGUGCUAACAGAGGAGCCUCUAGCCACAUGUGGCUGUUGAGCACUGUCCAAGAAUUAUUUAAUCAGUUCCCCAAAUUUCAGAAUGAAAUGUGAAUAGUGGGAUUAAGGAACUAAAUGCUGAAUUUUAUUUAAUUUUAAUUAAAUUUAAAUACCUAUAUAUAGUAUCUCCCUUACUGGACAGUGCAACCUUAGAGUACAAUCCAGAAUUUGUCUUGAGGGGAGGUGAUCAGGGAUAUCUACAAAGGUUUUCUAGAAGGAGCCAUCUGUGCAACAUGAAUGGAGUGUUAGCACUUAAACCACCCACUCUGUGUGCCUGCUAAGAGCAUGGCACCAGAGGCCGCUGGGGAUGCCAGCAUGAUAUAAAAUUGUCCCACCUGCCCAGAUCUGACAAAUAAACUUCUCAGGUACAGAUGAUUGGUGACAGCAGGAAGCCUUAGAAAUGGAUGACUACUUCCUGAUAUAUAUCCGACAGUCAGACUCAAACACAAAGAUGCGAUGCAUUGUAGCCCUAUGCAAAAUAGAUUUGGGAGAAGAUUAAAAAUGAUCUGAAAGCUGGGGAACUGAUUAAAUAAUUCUUGUAUAGUUUGUAUGCCCAAGGAAAUGCUAUCAAAUCAUUAAAAAGAACAAGGUAGCUAUAUAUAUAUAUAUAUGUAUAUAUAUGCAUACAUAUAUAUUAUGUAUAUAGGGCUUCCUGGCUCAGUGAUUAAGAAUGCAAGAGAUGAGGGUUCUAUCCCUGUGUUGGGAAGAACCCCUGGAGAAGGAAAUGACAACCAACUUCAGUAUUUUUGCCUGGGAAAUCUCAUGGACAGAGGAGCCUGGCGGGCUAUAGUCCAUGGGGUCCCAAAAAGAGCUGGACAUGAUUUAGCAACCAAACAAUAACAAACUAUAGAUACUGAUGUAAAAUGAUUUCAUGAUAUCCUUACAUUAAAACAAAACAAGGUGCAGAAUAAUACCAAACUGUGAUGACCGCUUAUGUAAACCAAAGAGAAUAUAUCUAUAUCUACAGUUUUUUAUAUGUGCAAAAUUUUCUUUGGAAAGAAAUACAACUUUUAAAUGGGGGAAAGAACUGGAAAAGACAAAAAUACUUUUUCUUUG